UAUAUUUUUCGUAUUUUUAUGAUGAAUCAUUUUUUUUUCAUAAUUUUAGAAUAACAAUUUACAAUAUGCCUACCUAUUGGGUAAUAUUAUAACCGUUAUAAAGUAUUCCUCAAUGUUUAUUACUUGCAAGACUGUAUAAACCAGGUGGUCUAAUGAAAAAAUUUUCUUCGACGCCCAGAAAAUCARAAAUUAUAUUCUACACUUCCAUACUACUCAUACAAAUAGACUAAUGUAUGUAAUUCGACAUUAUUAGYUAUCGUUUAGUUUAACAUCGUUAUUCAGUAUUCACUAUUUCACUGGAUACGAAUUGAGAAGAGUGUGAUUGUGGUUCGAUCAAAACCUUGUACUUAGUGRYAUUUAAUAAUAAACUUCAUUCGAGCACAAACCACCUUUCUUCAUUGUCCAUGCGCCACCAACAUCUAAAGGUAACAACUACCAGUUACAACUCUGGCCACCAUCGUCUGUUUACUCAGACUACUCGUCAGUCGUCAUGUCAAAUGAUCUGAACCGGCUUCAACUGCUAGAGAGUGUGUUCAAUAGAGUGACCGAGUUUGCCCGGACUGUGCACAGCAUACUGCCCACCAUCAGAGAGUGCAAUGAACUGCAUGAAAGACUGUUGGACUCCAUUGGCCGCAUUCUGUCUCUGUUGCGGCUUAUACGCGAUGGUCUCGUUGGGCAUACAUCUGGGUUGACAAAUGGACGAUCGAAGGGCUGACAGAUAGGCAAUACUAACUUGGAUCAAUAUGACCAAUCUUAAGAACUUAAUACAAUCAACUAGAUGCAAAAACUUCUUACCGCRUAUAAAAUGUGYAGACAAUAUUGUCUGAAGUGGCUUACAGUUUUCAUAUUUUUUAUAAACGUUUAAAUUCUAAAUGUUGUAAUAAAGUAAAUAAGACUGGUGAUGUUUAAUUGGAAAAACGAAUUAAAAGUCCACAGUAUUAUAUUUUUAAUUCCUUAAAUUUA
This is a long non-coding RNA of Diuraphis noxia (Russian wheat aphid), 963 nucleotides long. RefSeq lists it as uncharacterized. The record is from RefSeq and is a predicted model, not a curated record. Lineage: Eukaryota; Metazoa; Arthropoda; Insecta; Hemiptera; Aphididae.